GACGAACGCUGGCGGCGUGCUUAACACAUGCAAGUCGAACGGAAAGGCCCUGCUUUUGUGGGGUGCUCGAGUGGCGAACGGGUGAGUAACACGUGAGUAACCUGCCCUUGACUUUGGGAUAACUUCAGGAAACUGGGGCUAAUACCGGAUAGGAGCUCCUGCUGCAUGGUGGGGGUUGGAAAGUUUCGGCGGUUGGGGAUGGACUCGCGGCUUAUCAGCUUGUUGGUGGGGUAGUGGCUUACCAAGGCUUUGACGGGUAGCCGGCCUGGGAGGGUGACCGGCCACAUUGGGACUGGGAUACGGGCCAGACUCCUACGGGAGGCAGCAGUGGGGAAUAUUGCACAAUGGGCGGAAGCCUGAUGCAGCAACGCCGCGUGCGGGAUGACGGCCUUCGGGUUGUAAACCGCUUUCGCCUGUGACGAAGCGUGAGUGACGGUAAUGGGUAAAGAAGCACCGGCUAACUACGUG
RNAcentral lists this ribosomal RNA (468 nucleotides) under uncultured bacterium. RNAcentral's name for it is "partial 16S ribosomal RNA". It matches the Rfam family "Bacterial small subunit ribosomal RNA", at positions 28 to 507 of the family's 1533-position model. The record is from RNAcentral.